Molecule: long non-coding RNA, 816 nt
Organism: Oryctolagus cuniculus (rabbit)
Lineage: Eukaryota; Metazoa; Chordata; Mammalia; Lagomorpha; Leporidae
Source: RefSeq, a predicted model, not a curated record
GUCGGCGUGGGGGCAGCAGCCAGCCCGAGAGCUCCCCGCCCACCCUUGGGCACUGGGGCUUGUGUCUCUAUUUAGCAGCUAGCCUUGGUAUCCAGGGUUGGAGCGUGGCCAAGGCCAGGCUUUCCCCAGAUCCUGAGCUUGUGAACUUGGCAGGCUGGAGAAGCCUUGCCGAGCUGAGCCGCUAGCCUGAAGGUUUCAAGCAAAUCACAAACGACGCGAGGGAGGUCUUUGGGAGAAAACCUGGGACUCCGACAUGAUUAGAAGCAGCAUCUCCUGGAGGCAUCACAUGCCCACCGAGCGGCAGGGAGACCCCAAGGGGAAGGAGACGUGGGCCCUGCCGCACAGGAACUGUCCUGGAAGACGACACCAACCCCAGCACACACACAGGAGUUGGUAGUGGUGGGUAGGGGCAGGUGUGGCUGAGACUUGUUGAGGGAAAAGUACAGUCCAACGGACUUUUAGAAGAUACGACGCCCGAAGAGUGAACCCUGCCCUGUGGUAGGCUAAGGCUAGAGGUAUGGUGUGUGUUUUGAACUCAGUAAAUUGGAAAAUAUUGCCUUCUCUGCCUUUAAAAAGCUUGUUUCUGGAAGCAGGUGCUUAACCUCGUGGUUGAGAUGCCCACAUGUGAUUUCCGAGUGGCCAAGUUCAACGCCCAGCUCUGGCUCCUGACUCCAGCUUCCUGAUCAUGCAGAGCCUGGGAGGCAGUGGUGAUGGCUCAGCCCUGGGUUGAAUUCCUGCCUCCCAGCUUCAGCCUGGACUUAAUCCUGGCUUUUGUGGACAUUUGGGGGGUGAACCAACAGAUGGGCGUUCUCUCUG